RNAcentral lists this ribosomal RNA (468 nucleotides) under uncultured bacterium. RNAcentral's name for it is "partial 16S ribosomal RNA". It matches the Rfam family "Bacterial small subunit ribosomal RNA", at positions 28 to 507 of the family's 1533-position model. The record is from RNAcentral.
GACGAACGCUGGCGGCGUGCUUAACACAUGCAAGUCGAACGGAAAGGCCCUGCUUUUGUGGGGUGCUCGAGUGGCGAACGGGUGAGUAACACGUGAGUAACCUGCCCUUGACUUUGGGAUAACUUCAGGAAACUGGGGCUAAUACCGGAUAGGAGCUCCUGCUGCAUGGUGGGGGUUGGAAAGUUUCGGCGGUUGGGGAUGGACUCGCGGCUUAUCAGCUUGUUGGUGGGGUAGUGGCUUACCAAGGCUUUGACGGGUAGCCGGCCUGAGAGGGUGACCGGCCACAUUGGGAUUGAGAUACGGCCCAGACUCCUACGGGACGCAGCAGUGGGGAAUAUUGCACAAUGGGCGGAAGCCUGAUGCAGCAACGCCGCGUGCGGGAUGACGGCCUUCGGGUUGUAAACCGCUUUCGCCUGUGACGAAGCGUGAGUGACGGUAAUGGGUAAAGAAGCACCGGCUAACUACGUG